AUUGAACGCUGGCGGUAGGCCGAAGACAUGCAAGUCGAACGAGUGGCGGACGGGUGAGUAAGGUCUGGGAUACUGCCUUAUGGGAGGGGCUAACUACUUGAAGCCGUACCUAAUACCGGAUAACAUCGGGUGUCUCCAGCUGGGGUUUGCUGGUAGGUGGGGUAAAGGCUCCCCUAGGCGACGAUCCCUAGCGGGUCUGAGAGGAUGACCAGCCACACGGGACUUGAGACAAGUUCCAGACUCCGACGUGAGGCAGCAGUGGGGAAUAUUGCACAAUGGGCGAAAGCCGGAUGCAGCCAUGCAGCGUGGAUGAAGAGGGCCUGCGGGGUGUAAAGUACUUUCAGCGGGGAGGCGUUAACCGCAGAAGAAGCACCGGCUAACUCCGUGCCAGCAGCCGCGGUAAUUC
RNAcentral lists this ribosomal RNA (406 nucleotides) under uncultured bacterium. RNAcentral's name for it is "partial 16S ribosomal RNA". It matches the Rfam family "Bacterial small subunit ribosomal RNA", at positions 29 to 526 of the family's 1533-position model. The record is from RNAcentral.